CUGCAAUGCUUCAUGCAACUUGUCUCGCAACGAUUUUGACCAUUGCAAGGCAUGUUAAACGGUGCAAUGACUCGUGCAACUUGUCUCGCAACGCCAUUGCGAGACAAGUUGCAUGAAAAAUUGCACCGUGUAACAGGGCCUUUAUUCAGCAAAUUGUGCAUGCUGCCUUUGAUCCCUUCGGGGGGUGAGGCAGCAUUUUCCUUGCGAUAGUAACUCCUAGUUAUAGUAUAAGACCAUGAAAGAGACUUGGAGCAAAUCUAUGUUUUUCCGGACACUCGUUUGACUGACGGAAAGUCGAAAGAUUGGAGUACGUCCUCCAGUAAUAUUAUAGCUCAGUUGCACAUUAGUAUUCAGUUCCGAACGAUUCCGAAGGCUCGACGAACUUGGUCCGCCAUAUUUUUGACAUAUUUUAUGAUUUUUAUCGGACAACUUGUGUUUUAGUUUGUUAGAUUCGUGCAUGUUACAGCAUUAUUUAUAUUUAUCCACAUAUGAACUACAGUAAGUGCUUAUUUAGGGAUUUGGAUUUUAAUUAUUUAAAUACUG
Paramuricea clavata is the source of this 543-nucleotide non-coding RNA. NCBI's taxonomy places the organism in Eukaryota, Metazoa, Cnidaria, Anthozoa, Malacalcyonacea, Plexauridae. The record is from the annotation of a GenBank genome assembly.